This is a small nuclear RNA of Jaculus jaculus (lesser Egyptian jerboa), 107 nucleotides long. Lineage: Eukaryota; Metazoa; Chordata; Mammalia; Rodentia; Dipodidae. The record is from Ensembl.
GUGCCCAAUUCAGCAGCUCAUAAGCUAAAAUUGGAAUGAUACAGAAAAGAUUAGCAUGGCCCCUGCACAAGGAUGAUACACAAAUUUGUGGAGCAUUCCAUUUAAAA